This 279-nucleotide ribosomal RNA is filed under the name uncultured bacterium. RNAcentral's name for it is "partial 16S ribosomal RNA". It matches the Rfam family "Bacterial small subunit ribosomal RNA", at positions 506 to 784 of the family's 1533-position model. The record is from RNAcentral.
UGCCAUCCGCCGCGGUAAUACGAAGGGUGCUAGCGUUGUUCGGAAUUAUUGGGCGUAAAGGGCGCGUAGGCGGUCUUGUCGGUCAGAUGUGAAAGCCCAGGGCUCAACCCUGGACGUGCAUUUGAAACAGCAAGACUUGAGUACGGGAGAGGAAAGCGGAAUUCCUGGUGUAGAGGUGAAAUUCGUAGAUAUCAGGAGGAACACCGAUGGCGAAGGCAGCUUUCUGGACCGAUACUGACGCUGAGGCGCGAAGGCGUGGGUAGCGAACAGGAUUAGAUA